Molecule: long non-coding RNA, 2181 nt
Filed under: Brachypodium distachyon (stiff brome)
Lineage: Eukaryota; Viridiplantae; Streptophyta; Magnoliopsida; Poales; Poaceae
Description: long non-coding RNA (BDIS_LNC000542)
Source: RNAcentral
CCCAACUUAUCGUCUCGUUGAGACAUUGGUUUGAUAUAGUAUAUUCGCAAUUUUAGAUUGCACCCGCUAUUUAUCUUGUUCUUGCUUGUUCUUCGAUUGCUUGCAGGAACAAAGACCUUCGUGGUCAGGUUGAUCGUGCCCCCGCGUGAUCAAUAACCCUUUGGAAUUGGUGUAUCGAUUGCUAAGGCGCUGCCUCCUAGGCCGUAGUCGGAUCGUCAACGUCACCUCCUACCCAAAUCGAGAGUUACCAAUCUCAUCGAAAGAUCGGGCCACCCCGACACGUAUCACGUGGUAUCAGAGCUUAAGGUUGCUCGGUGAGAUUUUUCCAGUUUAUCCGUAGUUUAGAUCUAUUUUUACCUAUCGUCCAGAAAAAGCCAAAGAAAAAUUAGAAUUAGUUACCUUGUCCUAGAACCAAUCUGAGCCUUGCAAUUUUCACUUUAGUAUUUGCAUUGUUGAAUCUUUGCUGCAUUAAUCGUGUCGAGUUGCUGGAUUAGAUUGGAUCGUUUUUCAGAUUUUUUCUACUAGAUCGAACUUGCUUUUGGUUUUCUUGUUCUUCGUGUGACGCAGGUUUCCUUCAUCAAUCUUCCGCCGCCAAACUUCCUGCCACACCACCGCCAUAAUCUCCCGCCGCCACCAUAUCUUCCACCGAGUCCCUCUUGGAGUCCUACACCGAGUCCCUCAUCGAGUCCUACACCGAGUCCCUCUUCGAGUCCUACACCGAGUCCCUCGUCGAGUCCUACAUCGAGUCGGCAAGUUAUAGUUUUCAGCCGCGAAUCCGAGUCCGAGUCCAAUAAGGAGUGCUUUUGGAAAGUGUUUCAUCAUAGAUCGAAUUUUGUUUAGAGAUCAAGUUGUUUGGAAAUUUGAAAAAAAAAAAGGAAAGAAAAAAAAAAGGAAAGAAAGAAAGAAAAAAAAACGAAAAAAAAAAAGAGUUCGAGUCAGUUUCGGACCCGAGUCCGAGUAGAAUUUUAGUUUCGGGUGGGUUUGACCCGUGUUCAGUAAAACGGGCGUAUCUUUUGCGUACCAACUCGGUUUUGGACGUUCUUGGACUUUUUGGAAAGCUCAGGACGAGGCUCAUCAGGAAAUAUCCAGGGCGUUGCCCUGCACUUUGAGCCCCAAAUUCGGUUUGUAAGGUGGACUUUCUGAGCUUCCAAGUUUUUGCAUCCGUUUUCCGACGUCGCUGCAGCGCGGUGUUUCUCAGUUUUCUCCACCGUCCGAUAUCCGUUUUGAGUGAUCUUGCCCUUGCUGGAAAGCUUGUGUCGAUACCCUUCUAACCCAUAUUUUUCCAUAUUUUUCUGAAUUUUUCUUACUGCAGCCUUUGCUGUUCUUCGACAGACCGACGUACAGUUUUCCGGUCCUUCUUUUGCGUGAGUUUCUGGGGUAGAAAAAAAGAAAAAAAAGAAAAAAAGAAGAAGAAAAGAAUAAGAAGCCAAACAGAAGGCCACAAAAAGAAAAAAAAAGAAAAAAAAUCCCAGGGAUUUACUUCUUGUGCCAUCUUUCUAUCCUACCUUCUUCAGUAUCUAGGCUUAGAUUAUUUCUGUAAUUCGUUCUUAUCGACUCCAGCAGCUAGGACUAGCAUUAUUGAGCAUAUUUUCAACUUUGCAUUGCUGAUUUGAUUAUUUGCUAUUCUUUGCUACUCACAAAAGCCUCCAAGCUCCACAGAUUCUACACCUAGGUUGGUUUGUUACCGAGGCAUCGAUACAUUUAAUAUUCGGAGGGCUUGGUCACGCCGCUGGCCAUCACCUUCCUGUUUUGCAUGGUAAGAACUUGUAAGAACUUGAUUUUUAGCUUGAGAGUUGAGCGACUUGUAGCCACAUCCUAGUAGUUGAUAGGAACAUAUUACUGUGAUUUGUUUCUUGUUUUCUACUAACCAUGACAGGACUUACACGAAGCAUGGCAACUAGACCGAUGCUAUCCCGUGACCGCAAUGAGUGCUUUUCACCACGGCCAUCCUCCACGUCUCUUGUUGAUAAUGCCACGGCAACGGUACAAAACAAUCCUUCUAAUACAUAUAAAUUGUGUGUACCUUUCUUUGAGGGGGAAAAUGAUGCUGAAACGUAUAUAGAUUGGGAGCUAGUUUUAACUGAACAAUUCACAUGCUUCCAUGUACUAGAUAGUCGUAAGGUCCAAAUUGCUAGUAGUAAAUUUCGUUUUGAUGCAUUAUCAUGGUGGUGUGAGAUAGUU